This is a long non-coding RNA of Ailuropoda melanoleuca (giant panda), 4824 nucleotides long. RefSeq lists it as uncharacterized. Lineage: Eukaryota; Metazoa; Chordata; Mammalia; Carnivora; Ursidae. The record is from RefSeq and is a predicted model, not a curated record. The transcript is spliced from 3 exons.
CUCUUCGUCGCGCGUUCAUCUCCCCAAGCUCUGCAAAGUCAAACUCUUAGUCCUCACUUUAUUGCCCGACUUCACGCUGAAGUAACCCAUGUUUUAUUUUAAGCCUGUCACGUGUCUCUGUGAGUUCUAAAGACUUACGCAAAGAAUAUGAACUCUUCAAGCAAGAGCAAAAAUUUUAUCUGCUUUAGUCACAGCUAAUUUGUGAACCUAGAAGAAUUCAUGACACAUAGUAGUCUCUCGAUAUGUAUUUUUUAAUGCGUGGAUGAAUAAUAGAGAUUUUUGGUUUGGCUUCAAAGUGGGCUGGGGGAGGAAAUACGGUUUUGAGAAACUGGGGAGGGAAAUGCACAAGACUGCCAACUUCUGAGACAUAGCCCACCACAAGGGCAAAUUUCAGUGACAGUGGAGCAGAGAGUAGGAGGGAGAAAGUAAAGUAAGUGAGACACCUGAUCUGGAGAGCCUAGUUACUACAUACCAUGUUAUGCAGUUUGGGCUUAUCUUUUUUUUUUUAAGAUUUUUUUUUAAAUUUAUUAGAGAGUGAGCAUGAGUGGGGGGAGGAGCAGAGGGAGAGGGAGAAGUAGACUCCCCACCAAGCAGGUAGUCUGAUGCAGGGCUCUAUCCUGGGACCCUGGGAUCAUGACCUUAGCCAAAGGCAGACACUAAAUGGACGGAGCCACUGAGGUGCCUGGGCUUAUCUUAAGAAAAAUGGAAAGUGUGUAUGGGGGCAUGGGAUGGUUUUAACCUGGAGGGUGGGAUCAUCACUCAAGUGUUAGAAAGAUCACACUGGCGGCUGUGUGACAAAUGAACUGGAGGAGGCAGGAGCAACCACUAGGAAGCUAAUGCAGACCGAUGACAAUGGUGAUCUAGACCAGGGUGAAUUUAAGAAACAUCAGAUUGAACCAUAUGAAAGUGCCACUUUUGUAGGUCAGCAGCUAUCAAACAGUCCCAUUUCCAUUGGUUCAACCCGAUAGAAGGUAGUGGAUUAAAAACAGCCACAGAUACUUUAAGCUCUUCCCAUGAGAACAUAUUUAUUUCCCCACCAUCUCUGCACUGGCCUUAUCAUUUGCUUUGCUUAAAAGAAUGUGACAGAAGUGCACUGCAGAGGGGUGCCUGGGUGGCUCAGUCGGUUAAGCGUCUGCCAUUGGCUCAGGUCAUCCCAGGGUCCUGGGAUCAAGUUCCGCAUUGGGCUCUCUGCUCAGCAGGGAGCCUGCUUCUCCCUCUCCCUGCCGCUCUCCCUGCUUGUGUGCUCUCUGUCAAAUAAAUAAAGUAUUAAAAAAAAAAAAAAGUGCACUGGGGAAUUCUGAGGCAAAGCUUCAAGAGAACUUAGAACUUCUGCUCUCCCCCCUUGAAACCCAGAGACCAUCUACCAUGUUAUGAAGAUGAAAGACGAUGUGGAGGGGCCAGACUGUCUCAGCUGAUCCCAGACACCAGCCAGGGAGACAGCCUGGGAGAGACCAGCAGAGUCACCCAGACUAAGUUGUUUUGAGCAUUGUUUUGGGGUGAUGUGUUACACAGCAACAGAUAAAAAAUACAAAAAGACUUGGCGAUUAUUGGUUGGGGGCAGGAAGUUCCUGAUGAAUCCAGAUUUCUGGCUUGAGCAACAGACAACUGUAGUGCCAUUUUGUGAGAUAAAGUUAGAGGAAAAGCCAAGAGCAGAGCAUGAGUUUUUGGAGUGGUGGUGUUUGGUUGGUAGUACAAGAUGAUGGGUUUAGUUUUGGAUACGUUGAGUACAGGAUUCCUUGAAGAUAUCCCAAGUGCACGUAUCACGUGGGCAGUUUUCUACAACCCUGGAGCUCAGAAACUGGGUCUUCGCAUAGAUUUGGAGUUGCCAGCAGAAAGCAAGCCAGAGGAAUGAACAAGAUUGCCCACAGCAGAGAAAGAGGAAGAAAUGCCCCAAAACAGGGAGCUAACUGUAGCCCUGGGCUGUAGAUCUGCAUGAACAAAAGAUGUGCCUUCAUGCCUGAGAGAGAUGGCUAAAAUGGAAAGGAGAAUGAUCUCACCUGAGCUGCUGACACCCAAACAGUCACUGAUCUCGGACCACAUCUAAUAUUUUCCUCCACCUACUCCUAUCCCUAGUCUUACAAUUGGAACUAUUAUGGAGCCCCUUGCUCAGAUGAAUACUCACACCAGAUUGGUUUCUAAGCCAAGGCAGAAGCAUCUAGCAACGGGCUGGAGAACGAAAGGGCAUAAGUAUGAGUGUGACAAAUACCCUCCAAGUCUCCACUUGGCUUGACUUCCGACAAGGUGUUUGAAGCUAUUUUGGGAAAGCCAUGUCCCAGAUUCAGGAUUGGGAAAGCCUCACCUCCAUUGUGUCAUUUUUAGAAGAUGUUGCCAUGUGAUUCAAUCAACAGAAUAAAGAACAAUUAUUCUCAAGCAGAAAAAGCCAAGUCAGAUAAAACUGCAGAGUUCCUAAGAACCUGACAUCUGUGUCUAGGACCAAGAGAAACCUGAAGACCCCUGAAAUCUACAAGAUGUUGAAGAGGGGCCAAGUCCCUGCUUGCAGAGGUGACAGGCCUGAAAUCAUACAUGCUGUGUAUGAGACUCAACCCUGAUGCAUAUGUUCUUUCCAAACCUUCCCUUUGGGUUUCUCCCCAGAAUUAUUUUGUACAAUCGAUCUUUUAGAGCCACAAAUCCUUUUUGGAAUAACAACAAGUAGGUGUAAAACCCCAUCAUUUUUCCUGUGUUAUUCCUCCAGUCCACUUCUUUUGUGCUUUCAGCACAACCAGUGACACCUUGGCAUUUGCUGUGUGAUGGGACUGAUGUGAUCAUCUUCAAACUUUUCUCAGAUGCCUGUCUUUUCCAACUACAGUAUAUCCUACAUAGGAUAUACUGCUAGGCCACCCCCCAACCCCCCCAAAAAAACCCAAUUUCAUCAGUUCCUUUCUGUGAUUUAACAAUCUGUGUCCAUUCACUAAUAAAUCCAAACACUGUUCAAUCAAGUUUUUGUUCUGUACCUAACAAGACUUUCCUCUGUCCACAUGGCGAAGCUGCUGUCCUCACUGCCCUUCCAGUUUGCCAGGUUUAUCCUGGGGAAGCUAUUUUAGUUUUAAUAUUACUUUCCACUGCCUAGAGCACUCUUGUUGUCACUUUUCUCCCAGAAGUAAACACCACUCCUUUAUGAAAUCUCAAGCCUCAGAAAUCCUCACCUUCUGAAUACCAGUGACACUGAAUGAAACUGCCUUCAUGUUAAAUAAUAAGAUUAAACAAAGGGAGAAGACCUGCUUCCAAGGCCUAUUUGUAUUUCUUUCCUAGGACUAGAAAAGUAGAAUGUAAGGACUUUGUCUUUACUGGCAUCUACCUUCUUUCUAAUUAGGUAGCCAGUGUUACAGAAGGAAUGUAAGGAGCCCUCUGGCAAUUGAGUAGGGCCGUUGGCCUAUAGAGACAUCGCAACUGUUCAUGCUUGGAGCAGUGUCAGCUCUGAAAUGGAACAGCAGUAUCAGGUGAUGACUAGCCUACGGAAUCAUCAGUGUCUCCACUUAGGUAUAAUCACUAAUAUCAGCAACCCAAAACAUGCUGUUUUUUUAUACUCACUAAUGGUGUCCUAGUAACAUACACACUUCAUAAUUAAGUUCAGUUAACAUCAAUAACAAAUACAUCAGCAACUGACUAGUCCUUGAGCACACAGCCAUUCAAUGACACUCCAAAAAACCCCAAAAAAUCCAAUGUUUAUGGAUAGUGAACAUAUCCAGAAUCUUCUAGUGGACCAAAAAUUUCCUUUACCAAGUGAGUCUCUCUCUGUUCUAGGACAGUUUAUUAUUCCAUACAGGGGAACUUACUAAAAAGAGUAAAAGAAACUCUGGGGACUGAAGCUAACCAAGGGCUCAAUACAUUUUCAAUACAUCACUGAUGUCUAGAGACAGCACACAGUCACAGAGGUAGCUGUGGACCACUGAGCCCUGGGAGCCAAGCUCUGGCAGGAAUGAAUAUGGAUUGUGAAGAAAUAUGGACUGCAGUGACACUGGGGUGACAUUAGAGAGCCAUCCAUAACAGCGAGUCUUACCUUUUUAAAAGACACUCCUUUAGGAGUCUUUCCCCAGGAAAAUGCAUUUAAACUCAAAGUAUGGUAUACACUGCACAGACUCCAUGAAACCGAUCUAAGUGAAUUCUUAGAGGAGUCCAAGCCCCCAGAUUCAGAACUGCUGAUCUAGAUUUCUACCAGAUACCUAUUUACUCCUACUAUUGAAAUGUCUGAAGCCUAUCCCUUCCCAUGUCCCUGCUUAGAUUUAGGGCUACAUAGUAGACAGGUAUACAUGUUGUGAGAAGGGGGGAAUGUAGGUAAGCCUGCAGCCUUGUGAGGAGUCAGUACUCCUUUAUAUUGCCUUUGUUUUAGUUAUUUCAGGGUUGGUCCACAGCACUGCAGGGGGUGGGAGACAAAAAUUUCUUCUCUUCUUACAAGACUCCCAAGGUGGGUAAGAGUUGGCCAGAAGCAGAGAAGACUCUACAGUCAAAUGCCCACUGGGCAAAUGUGGCAGGACUGGCGGUCUGUUGGUCUCUGCGGUAUCUAUAAUGUCAGAUUGAGGAAACCACCUGGAGGCUGGCAUUGGCUCCUUCCCUUCCCAGGAAACAGAUCUGGCCCUAAAACAUGGAAACACUUAAAAGGAUAGUCUGGGAUUGAAACAGUGCUCAUCACAGAAAAUCCCUCUUCUAGGCCUGGGCCUACACAUUCUGUAUCAAGGUCAAAGAGCUGGAGAGGACUCCUUGUGGCUGGGAUUUCGGUUUCAUCUCAUCCUUUCUCUGUAACUCUGGAUACCAUCAGCCUUGGCCAGGUAUGAGGAAGCGUCCGUUACUAAUACUUCCUCUGACUAUUCUGCACAAAGAUGCCCAGUA